Zingiber officinale is the source of this 709-nucleotide long non-coding RNA. RefSeq lists it as uncharacterized. The transcript is spliced from 3 exons. The record is from RefSeq and is a predicted model, not a curated record. NCBI's taxonomy places the organism in Eukaryota, Viridiplantae, Streptophyta, Magnoliopsida, Zingiberales, Zingiberaceae.
UGCUCUUGAGUAGCUUCUUAUCAUGGUUUUUCUUUAAGAUGGAUUUCUUAGGGCUGUGGAGGUUGUUACUUCAAUGAAACCUGCUACUUGCAUGUAGCCUGGUGGGAUAUGGUUUCAGAGGAGGCUUCAGUAGGGGAAUCCUCUAUUGCGUUACCUCUUCAUGCUAUUAUCUGAUACAAUGGAUCGUAUCUUUCAGAGGGGUUAGAUGGCAGAUAUUUCUUGGAGGCUAGAUCCUUGGAGAAAGCAUAUCGCUUUUGACAAGCAGCAUAUGGAUUUCUACGGGCUGGAUUUCUCUUUGCACACUCUUGGCUUGGGCCUCACUCGCCGGUUGUAGCAGGAAAGUUUGGAGGACUUCGUAAUUGGUUUCCUCCAUUUAACCUGGAGGCAAUGUGAUUUCUACUUCUUGUAGAUGGACUCCCUCUGGGAUAUUUUCAGUUGGCCCAGUGUAUAUAUUUCUAUCUUGACAGUGUAUGUAGCUUAAUGCUGUGUGCGAACUGACUCGGCAUGUUUGGACAUGUUUCCACGAAGGUUGAUUGAUCAUAGAGAUCACACUGGCAUUUGUAUUGGACGAGGAAUUGUUAGAUAUAAGUAUCCCAUGAGUUUAUUUGUAAAUUGUACAUGUAAAUACGAUCUAAAUCUUUUAAAAUGAUCUAACUUAUGUGUAGUGAGUUUUGAGUAAUUGGAUAUAAGUUGAAUGUGUAAAACCUUU